GUGCCAGCGCCGCGGUAAUACGGAAGGGUGCAAGCGUUAAUCGGAAUUACUGGGCGUAAAGCGCACGCAGGCGGUUUGUUAAGUCAGAUGUGAAAUCCCCGGGCUCAACCUGGGAACUGCAUCUGAUACUGGCAAGCUUGAGUCUCGUAGAGGGGGGUAGAAUUCCAGGUGUAGCGGUGAAAUGCGUAGAGAUCUGGAGGAAUACCGGUGGCGAAGGCGGCCCCCUGGACGAAGACUGACGCUCAGGUGCGAAAGCGUGGGGAGCAAACAGGGAUUAGAUACCCUGGUAGUCCACGCCGUAAACGAUGUCGACUUGGAGGUUGUGCCCUUGAGGCGUGGCUUCCGGAGCUAACGCGUUAAGUCGACCGCCUGGGGAGUACGGCCGCAAGGUUAAAACUCAAAUGAAUUGACGGGGGCCCGCACAAGCGGUGGGAGCAUGUGGUUUAAUUCGAUGCAACGCGAAGAACCUUACCUGGUCUUGGACAUCCACAGAACUUUCCAGAGAUGGAUUGGUGCCUUCGGGAACUGUGGAGACAGUGCUGCAUG
RNAcentral lists this ribosomal RNA (546 nucleotides) under uncultured Gammaproteobacteria bacterium. RNAcentral describes it as "bacterial SSU rRNA". It matches the Rfam family "Bacterial small subunit ribosomal RNA", at positions 505 to 1047 of the family's 1533-position model. The record is from RNAcentral. Lineage: Bacteria; Pseudomonadati; Pseudomonadota; Gammaproteobacteria.